Molecule: transfer RNA, 93 nt
Filed under: Daphnia pulex (common water flea)
Lineage: Eukaryota; Metazoa; Arthropoda; Branchiopoda; Diplostraca; Daphniidae
Rfam family: tRNA
About the family: Transfer RNA (tRNA) molecules are approximately 80 nucleotides in length. Their secondary structure includes four short double-helical elements and three loops (D, anti-codon, and T loops).
Source: Rfam by way of RNAcentral
GCCUUCUUAGCUCAGUGGUAGAGCGUUGGUCUCGUAUGUGAAUGAAAAACAUUGGAUAACCAAAGGCCGAGAGUUCAAUCCUCUCAGGAGGCA